This 2281-nucleotide ribosomal RNA is filed under the name Lacticaseibacillus paracasei. RNAcentral's name for it is "partial 23S ribosomal RNA". It matches the Rfam family "Bacterial large subunit ribosomal RNA", at positions 637 to 2925 of the family's 2925-position model. The record is from RNAcentral. Lineage: Bacteria; Bacillati; Bacillota; Bacilli; Lactobacillales; Lactobacillaceae.
CUUGCGAGGUUAAGAUGAAAAGUCGGAGCCGUAGCGAAAGCGAGUCUGAACAGGGCGAAUGAGUAAGCAGAUGUAGACCCGAAACCAAGUGACCUACCCAUGACCAGGUUGAAGGUGUGGUGAAACACACUGGAGGACCGAACCCAUGUAUGUUGAAAAAUGCUGGGAUGAGUUGUGGGUAGCGGUGAAAUUCCAAACGAACUUGGAGAUAGCUGGUUCUCUCCGAAAUAGCUUUAGGGUUAGCCUCGGAGGAUGGAUCAUGGAGGUAGAGCACUGUUUGAACUAGGGGCCCAUCAAGGGUUACUGAAUUCAGAUAAACUCCGAAUACCAUCGAUCUUACUCCGGGAGUCAGACAGUGAGCGAUAAGGUCCAUUGUCGAAAGGGGAACAGCCCAGAUCACCAGUUAAGGUCCCUAAAUUUAUGCUAAGUGGAAAAGGAUGUGGCGUUGCACAGACAACUAGGAUGUUGGCUCAGAAGCAGCCACCAUUUAAAGAGUGCGUAAUAGCUCACUAGUCGAGUGGCACUGCGCCGAAAAUAUACCGGGGCUAAGCAUAAUACCGAAACUGUGGGUGCACCCGUAAGGGUGCGCGGUAGGAGAGCGUUCUAAGGGCGUUGAAGGUCGAUCGUGAGGACGGCUGGAGCGCUUAGAAGUGAGAAUGCCGGCAUGAGUAGCGAAAGAUCAGUGAGAAUCUGAUCCACCGUAUGACUAAGGUUUCCUGGGGAAGGCUCGUCCUCCCAGGGUUAGUCGGGAUCUAAGGCGAGGCCGAGAGGCGUAGUCGAUGACAAGCAGGUUGAGAUUCCUGCACUAGUUUAUUUUGUUUAAGCGAUGGAGGGACGCAGGAGGCUAAGGAAAGCGCACGGCUGGAAAUGUGCGCCCAAGCAGCAAGUCUGACAGCGAGUGAAAUGCUUGCAGUCUUAAGGACAAGCUGUGAUGGGGAGCGAAAUUAUAGUAGCGAAGUUCCUGAUGUCACACUGCCAAGAAAAGCUUCUAGUGAGAAAUAAACUACCCGUACCGCAAACCGACACAGGUAGUCGAGGAGAGUAUCCUCAGGUGAGCGAGCGAACUCUCGUUAAGGAACUCGGCAAAAUGACCCCGUAACUUCGGAAGAAGGGGUGCUGACCGCAAGGUCAGCCGCAGUGAAUAGGCCCAAACAACUGUUUAUCAAAAACACAGGUCUCUGCUAAAUCGUAAGAUGAUGUAUAGGGGCUGACGCCUGCCCGGUGCUGGAAGGUUAAGAGGAUGAGUUAGCGCAAGCGAAGCCCAGAAUUGAAGCCCCAGUAAACGGCGGCCGUAACUAUAACGGUCCUAAGGUAGCGAAAUUCCUUGUCGGGUAAGUUCCGACCCGCACGAAAGGCGUAAUGAUUUGGGCACUGUCUCAACGAGAGACUCGGUGAAAUUAUAGUACCCGUGAAGAUGCGGGUUACCCGCGACAGGACGGAAAGACCCCAUGGAGCUUUACUGUAGCUUGAUAUUGAGUGUUUGUACCGCUUGUACAGGAUAGGUAGGAGCCGUAGAGAUCGGAACGCUAGUUUCGAUGGAGGCGUUGGUGGGAUACUACCCUAGCUGUAUGAACACUCUAACCCGCGCCACUAAUCGUGGCGGGAGACAGUGUCAGGUAGGCAGUUUGACUGGGGCGGUCGCCUCCUAAAAUGUAACGGAGGCGCCCAAAGGUUCCCUCAGAAUGGUUGGAAAUCAUUCGCAGAGUGUAAAGGUAUAAGGGAGCUUGACUGCGAGACUGACAAGUCGAGCAGGGACGAAAGUCGGGCUUAGUGAUCCGGUGGUUCCGUAUGGAAGGGCCAUCGCUCAACGGAUAAAAGCUACCCUGGGGAUAACAGGCUUAUCUCCCCCAAGAGUCCACAUCGACGGGGAGGUUUGGCACCUCGAUGUCGGCUCAUCGCAUCCUGGGGCUGUAGUCGGUCCCAAGGGUUGGGCUGUUCGCCCAUUAAAGCGGUACGCGAGCUGGGUUCAGAACGUCGUGAGACAGUUCGGUCCCUAUCCGUCGCGGGCGCAGGAAAUUUGAGAGGAGCUGUCCUUAGUACGAGAGGACCGGGAUGGACGUUCCGCUGGUGUACCAGUUGUGCCGCCAGGCGCAUCGCUGGGUAGCUAUGAACGGCAGGGAUAAACGCUGAAAGCAUCUAAGUGUGAAGCCCCCCUCGAGAUGAGAUUUCCCAUUCCUAUAUGGAAGUAAGACCCCUGAGAGAUGAUCAGGUAGAUAGGCUGGAAGUGGAAGUGCAGCGAUGCAUGGAGCGGACCAGUACUAAUCGGUCGAGGACUUAACCA